Molecule: long non-coding RNA, 2267 nt
Filed under: Jatropha curcas
Lineage: Eukaryota; Viridiplantae; Streptophyta; Magnoliopsida; Malpighiales; Euphorbiaceae
Description: long non-coding RNA (JCUR_LNC001912)
Source: RNAcentral
GAAAGCAUACUUCAAAUGUGCACAUGAAUGCUUUGAUAGGACAAGAAGGCAGACUGAAUUGGAAGGCGAGGCAGAGGCUUAUUCAUUAGGUGAAAUAUUCAAAUGCUCAUGCUUUCUUUUACUUUUGAGAUAGAAAAACUAGUAUGUGUUCCAUAUGUCACAUGUAUAGGCAUUCCUUCGGUUGCAAAUCCGCCUCCAUCACAUUCUUGGUCUUAGGUGCAAAGCUCUUAUAUCCAGAAACUGCAAUCCUCACUGCAGCCAAUAUCACUGAAAAGUUAACCAACAGAAAUUAUGCAAUUAGACUUGUUUAUCCACGGCAGUUCAAAAUUAUGCACUAGGGACCUGAUCCCCUGUACAUCGCUGACUGAUCUAAUCCUCACUUGAUCAGUCCUAUCAUUAUUUUUUCAUUCUCUCUUUUCUUUGUCAUUAACCAAUAAAAGGCUACCUUGUGGUUUUUUCCAUAUCUCAGAUGUAUACUGGGGGACUGAUCUCUUUAUACAUAGCCAAUGGUAUCGCAAACUGCCUUCAAAAAUCCCAUGGUGACCCAGUUCAUCCUAAUUUCACACAAAUAAGGCAAAUCAAUAUCAUAACACAAAUAAUCAAGCAAUGUAUUCAACACAAACUGCACCAAAUUAAUAAUUAAACUGCAAACAUAAAGAUAUAAUUAUGAUAUAUAAUUAUAUAUUAACAAUAAAAUUCUAAUAUAGAAAUGAUUAUUAAAUUAAUAUUUAUACAUUUUUUUAUAUGGUAAUUAAUUAAUGUAUGUUAAUGAUAGUAUGCACUAUUUAUUAUUACUCACAGUGAUUGGAAAAAACACAAUUUUACUCUUGGUUCAAGCUUGGAGAAGCCGAGAAGAGACCUAGACGAUCUAAAAGUGAUAACAGAAUUAAGAGAAAAGCUUCCAUUAGAAUUUAGAUUUAACUUACUUAGUUUAAGCCGCUAGCUAAACAUAAAAUUAUGGAGAUUUUGUUGAAAAUACUGUAAAUUUUCCCCUAAAAAUUAGACUUAACCACUUGUUUAUUGUCUAUAAAUAAUAUAUAAAGCUCGUCCAUCGGGCAAAUUCUUAUCAAUUAAACUCAUCCGUCAUUUACGACAUUUAUCAAAAUCUCAUCCUCAAUAUCCAAUCACGUGAUUUAAUUUAUAUUAAGCUAUUCAAAUACUCUAAUUUUUUGCUAUUUAAUUAUAUCUAUUUUAAUACUUAGCUAAUCAAACCAUAAAGGCUAAAAUGUUCUGUUAAUAUUAAAUUCACAUAAAUAAUUCAAUUUGUCAUUACCAAAAUAAGUUUACUUCACUAACCUACUAGAUUAAAUUUCUAAGAUUAUAAAACUCAAAUUUAAUACUCUUUCUGUUUCGAUUUUAAAGUCGAAUUUUUAAAUUUACGUCAAGUAGUAAUUCGAAGGCCAAGUGUGCUUGGAUUGCAAAACUAGUUAUAUAUUUGCACUCUACAAGAAAAAUACCAUAUUCUACCUCUUAGGAACUCCGGUCACUAAAGCCACCAUAGGUUGUCGUCGCCUCCACCGUUCACGGUUGUCGAGGCAGAGGCAGGUCCCAAAUUUUGCAACUCAUGUCUCAUUUUGCUCCAAAUUUUAUGUAGCUUACAUUUCUAUAAUCAGUUUAUACCAAUUAUAGAAUUGUUUGCAGGGUAUCAAAAAGAGGCUAAAAGAAGCAGGGACCAACUGGAUCAAGGAGUUGAAUAGCGUCCUAUGGUCUUAUCGAACCACUGCUAGAAGUUCCACAGGCGAGACACCAUUCUCUCAUGUAUAUGGUGUAGAAGCGGUCAUAUAAGUUGGAAUUAGAAUGCCAAGCAGAAGGGUGCAAUCUUAGCGAAGAUGACAACUCUGAGUCUUUAAGAAACGAGGCAUCAAUUAAGGCAGUCGCUCAGCAACAGCAAAUGGCAAAAUACCACAACCGAAGGGUCAUGAAAAGAACGUUUGUAAUAGGAGACCGAGUAUGGAAGAAAAAUAAAAUAAAAACAGGAUCAAGUGGUAGGCAAGCUGAGCCUAAAUUGGGAAGUCCCCUUCGAGAUUACACAAAAAUGGGACCGAGCACAUUCAAAAUCAAACCCCUAAACGGAUUAGAGCUUCCUCGGAUUUGGAAUUUAGAUAACUUAAAGCAUUGUUUCUUGUAAAUACAUAUGGAGACAUUAGAUAAAAGUCAUGUUUUUUUUUUACUUAACUUUGCAAAGCCCCAUAGGACCAGGGUGUACUUAGGUGACCCAGGGGACUCGGGAGUAUAACAUAUAGAGGCCCUGCAAAGUUAAGUUUUUU